AUUGAACGCUGGCGGCAGGCCUAACACAUGCAAGUCGAGCGGAUGAAGGGAGCUUGCUCCUGGAUUCAGCGGCGGACGGGUGAGUAAUGCCUAGGAAUCUGCCUGGUAGUGGGGGAUAACGUCCGGAAACGGGCGCUAAUACCGCAUACGUCCUGAGGGAGAAAGUGGGGGAUCUUCGGACCUCACGCUAUCAGAUGAGCCUAGGUCGGAUUAGCUAGUUGGUGGGGUAAAGGCCUACCAAGGCGACGAUCCGUAACUGGUCUGAGAGGAUGAUCAGUCAAACUGGAACUGAGACACGGUCCAGAAUCCUACGGGAGGCAGCAGUGGGGAAUAUUGGACAAUGGGCGAAAGCCUGAUCCAGCCAUGCCGCGUGUGUGAAGAAGGUCUUCGGAUUGUAAAGCACUUUAAGUUGGGAGGAAGGGCAGUAAGUUAAUACCUUGCUGUUUUGACGUUACCAACAGAAUAAGCACCGGCUAACUUCGUG
RNAcentral lists this ribosomal RNA (484 nucleotides) under uncultured bacterium. RNAcentral describes it as "partial 16S ribosomal RNA". It matches the Rfam family "Bacterial small subunit ribosomal RNA", at positions 30 to 507 of the family's 1533-position model. The record is from RNAcentral.